This 479-nucleotide ribosomal RNA is filed under the name uncultured soil bacterium. Its description in RNAcentral is "bacterial SSU rRNA". It matches the Rfam family "Bacterial small subunit ribosomal RNA", at positions 26 to 506 of the family's 1533-position model. The record is from RNAcentral.
AGGACGAACGCUGGCGGCGUGCUUAACACAUGCAAGUCGAGCGGUAGGGCUCCUUUCGGGGGGUACACGAGCGGCGAACGGGUGAGUAACACGUGAGUAAUCUGCCCUUCACUCUAGGAUAAGCCUCAGAAAUGGGGUCUAAUACUGGAUAUGACUCGUCCCUGCAUGGGGGUGGUGGAAAGAUUUAUUGGUGGGGGAUGUGCUCGCGGCCUAUCAGCUUGAUGGUGGGGUAAUGGCCUACCAUGGCUUCGACGGGUAGCCGGCCUGAGAGGGUGACCGGCCACACUGGGACUGAGACACGGCCCAGACUCCUACGGGAGCAGCAGUGGGGAAUAGUUGGACAAGUGGGCGGAAAGCCUAGAUACCAGCAACGCCGCGUGAGGAUGACGGCUCGGUUGUAAACCUCUUCAUCACCGACGAAGUCGACGUCGUUUUUUGGUGUGGUGACGGUAGGUGAAGUAGAAGCGACGCAACGUCGU